AUGAUGUCUCAUACAGAGGGGGAGUGGCAGGCUGGGCUCCCUCUGUGUCCCAGGAGAUUAGCACGGUGCUCAUCUGUUAAGGCUGCGACAGGACAGGCGAGCCCGGAUGGGUGUCUGUGCAAACCCUGCCGCAGUGUUCAGUGCUUCUAUUUUAAGCAGCAUAGUCUGCACCAUGGAGCAAACUGUUAUUACAUAAACUCCGUCUCGUCAACGCCUCUCAUGUCUCCGCAAGGCGUGGGCUGUGGCCGUGUCCUUAUCGUGGUCCUGGUUACUGAAGUCCAUGCAUUGGGGCUACUUCGAUGGUGGCUGCUGGGCAUCCGUGAAACGUCUGAUUCCUCUCAGCUAGGACCAGGCUACGUGAGGCCCCCGGGCUGACAGCAGAGGGCUCCUUCUGAAGAAACAAUGAGUCUCCUGCCGGGAAGGCAGACUUUGAAGACUCCGCUUCUAUCUGUGGGCUUCUCCCCGGCUUCCCUGAGCGCCAACUGCUCUUUCUCUUCUGUUGCUCGUUUCCCACCAAAGCCCAAGCAGUGUGAAAGAGCGCAUGGUCUGUAUCGGCUACAAAGUAUCUGGACACAAAGCCAGCCCCUCUGUACCCUGCUCAGAAGACCCAUUCCUGCUAUCCGAAGUCUGGCUGAUUUUUCUCUCCACUGUUAAUUCUCGUGCCUAGAUUCGUUCAUGGACACAUUUCCACCCAGGUGAGCAUUCACAAACACAUUGUAAAAUAUAUUUAAAUGAGAUCUAACUCUGGCAACCCUGCAUGUUUUGAUUUGAACAGGAUUUGGUUGCCCAAGCCCUCCAAGAUGCUUAAACCCCAAACUCUAACAUUCACAGUUAACACAUUAAUACUAGUGCCUGGUGCAGUAGGAUGGUUUGCUCCAGUUAUGGCGUCUUCAGGUUGGGGACCUUGGAAGGACUGGGUAGGACUGCAUCGCUUUGGGUUAAGUGCUAGGGAGGAGCCCUGAGAUGCUCUCGUGGUCGCGUUACAGGGAGAGACCACAAGGAGGCACACACAGAGUGUGCUCCGGUGUGUCUGCUUCCUCCAUCCCCCACCUCCCCAGAUGCCUGAACCAUCUUGGACUGGGAAACUCCAAAAGAAGCCACAUUCCUUCCCAAGAAGGGGUUUUAGUUAAAGUGACACAGCGCUGGCUAAUAAAGUGGACGAGUCAUUAACUUAUAUGCGUCCC
Molecule: long non-coding RNA, 1184 nt
Filed under: Oryctolagus cuniculus (rabbit)
Lineage: Eukaryota; Metazoa; Chordata; Mammalia; Lagomorpha; Leporidae
Description: lncRNA (ENSOCUG00000031517.1)
Source: RNAcentral